GCUUCUCUUGAGAGCGGCGGACGGGUGAGUAAUGCCUAGGAAUCUGCCUGGUAGUGGGGGAUAACGCUCGGAAACGGACGCUAAUACCGCAUACGUCCUACGGGAGAAAGCAGGGGACCUUCGGGCCUUGCGCUAUCAGAUGAGCCUAGGUCGGAUUAGCUAGUUGGUGAGGUAAUGGCUCACCAAGGCGACGAUCCGUAACUGGUCUGAGAGGAUGAUCAGUCACACUGGAACUGAGACACGGUCCAGACUCCUACGGGAGGCAGCAGUGGGGAAUAUUGGACAAUGGGCGAAAGCCUGAUCCAGCCAUGCCGCGUGUGUGAAGAAGGUCUUCGGAUUGUAAAGCACUUUAAGUUGGGAGGAAGGGCAUUAACCUAAUACGUUAGUGUUUUGACGUUACCGACAGAAUAAGCACCGGCUAACUCUGUGCCAGCAGCCGCGGUAAUACAGAGGGUGCAAGCGUUAAUCGGAAUUACUGGGCGUAAAGCGCGCGUAGGUGGUUUGUUAAGUUGAAUGUGAAAUCCCCGGGCUCAACCUGGGAACUGCAUCCAAAACUGGCAAGCUAGAGUAUGGUAGAGGGUGGUGGAAUUUCCUGUGUAGCGGUGAAAUGCGUAGAUAUAGGAAGGAACACCAGUGGCGAAGGCGACCACCUGGACUGAUACUGACACUGAGGUGCGAAAGCGUGGGGAGCAAACAGGAU
Molecule: ribosomal RNA, 700 nt
Filed under: Pseudomonas asturiensis
Lineage: Bacteria; Pseudomonadati; Pseudomonadota; Gammaproteobacteria; Pseudomonadales; Pseudomonadaceae
Description: bacterial SSU rRNA
Rfam family: Bacterial small subunit ribosomal RNA
Source: RNAcentral